CUCCCUCACCAUCCAGUAGCACCAAAUAUCAGCCAGGUGAUAUUGUUCUAGUAUCAUCCCACUUCAUAGAGGCAGAAAAGGGUGAAGUCAGUUGUCUGAGGCUAUGCUGCUAGAGAGCUGGGCUUCAAACACAGGUCUGACUCCAGUGCCCACACUCACACCAGGCUCCCACACUGGUCGAUCCCUGCAUUUGGACAAGACAGGCACUGAGCCCAGGAAGAGGGGGCUAGUAGGAGCAGAGCAAGGCACAGAUCCCAGCCUCCUGGGAUGUGGCCUGGGAUUCCAUCCCUCCAUCCAUCCAUAUUUCUGUUCAUCUGUUUAUGUAUUCACCAAUCCAUUCAUCCAUCUAUACUUUUGUCCGUCCAUCUAUCCAUCCAUUCAUCUAUAUUUUUAUCCAUUCAUCUAUAUUUUUGUCCAUCCAUCUAUCCAUCCAUUCAUCUAUAUAUUUGUCCAUCCAUCUAUCCAUCCAUUCAUCUAUAUUUUUGUCCAUCCGUCCAUUCAUCCAGCCAGUCAGCCUCCUAUCCACCAACAUGUUUGUCUGGCUGUGUACUGGGAACCUGUUCAUGGGCCAGAAGCAAAAGUCUUCCCUGCAGCUCAUGGGGCUGGCAAUGGGGCUGACCCUUUGGCUCACCUCCCUGCCACACUCCACACUCCAGAGCCCACCAGGUAGCCUCACCCACCAGUUGCCCAUCGGAACGACACAUCCUGGGACUUCUUGUCAUCUCCUAUCCAAGAUUCCAUUAUAAGGUGUGAUUGCUGAAGUAAUAGACAGAUAACGGAUCAGUCCGAGCCCCGCCUGGCACACCGGGCAGCUGCCAGGUUUUUCCCAUUAGCCACAGGGCUUGACGGACAGUAAUGGAUUUCAUACUGAUGCUGGAGCCUGCGGUGGAUAAUUCCGUGAUAAUAGUUAAUCACCCACUGACGGGAGGUAAUGGGUAAUCACCAGGAAGAAAGCAAACCCAUCAGGGAGCCCUGGCCUCCACCCAGCCUGGCCCUACCUUUGUUGUGCCAACUGCCACUUUCCAACUCGAGGGCCAACUCCCGUCUAUGCCCUGAAGGAUGGCAGAGCUGCCGGUCCACUGCGCAUCAAGCCCCAGUCACCUUCCUUCCCACUGAGACUUGCAGCAAACUUGAGAGAAGAAAAAGUGGAGUUUCAAGGACAAAGCAACCCAAUAUAUCCUCUAGUCCAGUCCUCCUAUGCACAGCCCCAGGCUCCAGGCCAGGAUAUCAGAGGGAGACUUUGGCCACAGUGUAUGUGCCCCGGCCAUGUUCUCCGCAUCCUAGAAACCACUCAUUGGAGCCAGGUUGGUGAUGACCCCUUGCCACCACCUUCCAUUGCCUUGCAAGGGUCCCCUGCCCCCAUCCUCACCUUUAUAAACACUUGAGUAUGCCAUCUGUCCCUCACCAGGACUUCCCCCAAUAGACACUGUCUCUUCCAAAUCUGCAGGAAAAAAAUAAAAUAAAAUGAGUGGAUACAAUUUUCUCCGAUUUCAGGAUUUUCCCCUUUUUAAUUUUGUUUUAAACAUUCAGGUCCUCCUUGUCUCUCACUACUCAGAGAGAAUAAAACAAAUGAAUAAGCACCAAA
This 1585-nucleotide long non-coding RNA is filed under the name Pongo abelii (Sumatran orangutan). RNAcentral's name for it is "lincRNA". Lineage: Eukaryota; Metazoa; Chordata; Mammalia; Primates; Hominidae. The record is from RNAcentral.